This is a long non-coding RNA of Cavia porcellus (domestic guinea pig), 15805 nucleotides long. RefSeq lists it as uncharacterized. The transcript is spliced from 4 exons. NCBI's taxonomy places the organism in Eukaryota, Metazoa, Chordata, Mammalia, Rodentia, Caviidae. The record is from RefSeq and is a predicted model, not a curated record.
UCCGCCCCGCACCUCGCAGGGCCCGGCUCCGAGCGCACCGCACCGCACCGCCGCCCGCGGACCCCGGCCCGUCUCUCGGCGGCGCCCGCGCCACGAGCACGCACACUCACACGCACACUCACACGCGCGCUCACACGCGCGCUCACACGCGCCCGCCCGCCCGCUGCUCGCACACGCCGCGCUCUCCUCGCCCGCCCGGCGCACGCAUCCUAGACACACACGCUGCAGGCGAGACAAGAAAAUGAAAUUUAUUAUUGAUAGAAAAGACUUUAAAGACAAUUUCAAGUUAUUGUUUCUCUCUGGAAAAAGGGGGUCCCCUCCGCACAAUGAAACGCCUUUUGUGCGGCGCGGAACAAUGCCAAACAAGUAUUCUAAUACACAGCCACUUUUUGUUCCUCCCCGACAGUGAAUAGAAAGGAGCAGUUGGUUCUCGAGCAGCUGGGACGCCGCGGAGGGAGGUGGAGCCGGAGUCGCCUCCCCGCGCGCUCCCCUCCGCCCGCGCCCUGCGCCCCGCGCCCGCUGGCCUGGUUUCCGAGGCGCGGACCCCAGGCGGCCACCCUGCACCCUCCGCCGCGCCCCCCCCAAGGCAGUGGUCCUGGAGCCGAGAUCGCCACCACCGGCUUCCGCCGGAGCUGCUCUCCAGUCUUCCCCACCCGCGCUCCUGACACCCGCGUUGUGACCGGGCGCCGCGCCCCACUCUGCCCUUGCGCGUCUUCGCCCGCGGGCUCCCAUUGCGGGGACAGGGCUUGAGCUUUUUGUCUCGCCGAGGGGACACCUUGGCCAGUGGCGCCGCGCCAAGACAGGCCUCCCCCGGAGCAGCGCUGGCUGCCUUUUCUCCUUGUUCCUCUACGACAAUCUCAACUGUCCCCCGACCACUAUCCCCCGAUCACUGACCCUCCCCUAAGAGCCCCGACCAGAGGCAGCUGCUGAGGUGGAGGCGGUUUCUCAGGACAGCGUGGGGACACAGAGCAUCGCAGGGAGAGUGUUUGGAAGUCGCCGAGGGCUCAUCUGUGGCUGGGAAAACUCACUGUCCACAGAGGGACUGGGAAUCGCUGUCGAAGGGGAAAUAAGGCAGGUCUGUAAUCAUGUGGUGAAAGUGAAGAUUCCUUGGAGAAACGUUUAUGGUUUUUCUGGCUGAAUGCCCAGGAAGAGGGACCCUGCAUGCUGGCCACUGUGUGACUGAGCUGUCUGCUGUCCCAGCAGCCCCCGAGGACUGGAAGAAGCUCACAGGACCCACAAUCUCCACAACACAUCUCGAAGUCCAGAGUCAGGAUGAGGAAAAGUGACCAGAUGUAUUGAGAGACCGGAGGUGAGCCCUGUUGUCAAGCGAAAGCUGUCAGUGGAAACCCACCCGGAGAUGGCACAGGGGUCUCACAAGGCAAAGAUUCUUCAGCUGUCUUUUGUAACAUGUUCACAGCACUGAAGGAAACCAUAGUCGUCGUGAGUGAACAGGUGAGCUGGAGAUCUGAGCAAAGGGAAGCCCAUGACACAGAGCUGGCCAAGUCACAGCGCGGCUACAGGCGCGUCAAGGGCAGGUGGUCAAAGAAGGGUUAGUGACUUGAAGACAGCAAAAGGAAUCGGAUCUGAAGCACAGAGGAAAACUGAAGGCCAGGAACCUAUGGGAAACAGUAGCUGCCCAGAUAAAUACAGAGUAGGCGCUGUAAGGAGAAUCAAAUGAUGUCGGGACCGCCUGUUUGCAAGGCAGGUGCUUAUGCCGAUGAGCUAAAUCCCCAGCCCUAGGGACCUAAGUUUUGUUUUGCUUCGUUUUAAAGAACGCAAUAGUUAGAUACUGGCCUAAUUGGAAGAAAAAAGACUUUCACACCCAAACACUUAAUGAAAGUUUAAGCAAAAGUUUAUAAAAUAUAGACAGUAAUACCUAGGUACUUCUGGUAAAAUUUCAGAAAACAAAAAUCUUAAAAUUAGCCAGAAGGAGAAAACACAUAUACAAAGGCAUCAGCUGGACCCUCGUGAAUAAAAGGGGACCCAGAACAACCAAGGGCUGACACUGGUGAAGGCAAAAUGUAGGCAGGAAUCGUGGAGGAAACAGUGUCUUCCAUAAGAGGCUGGAGACAGGGGUGGGUCAGGACCUGGUAGCAGAGGGCAUGGCGCAGCCCUGCGCUGCCCCAGAAAGCCCAAAGGCUGCUGUCAUCAGGCAAGGACUCUAACUAAGGAGCUGCAAGAAAGGCAGAGGGCAGCCGGGAGUGAGCCUGGAGCUCGGGCCCAGCUCGGCUGAGAGGUACCUGCCUGUUUACCACAUAAACCUUUACCACGGAGUUCAGAUGCGCUUGGCCUCGCUGAUUCUGACAAAUAGAGAGUUUAUGUACAAAUGAAGCAAAAAUGGAAACAGAGAACGGAAUCAGAGAUUGCUGGCAUGUCAGUUUCACCCUGGCAAGCGGAAGCUUUGGGGUUAGAAGACUUCCGAACUUCCCAACAGUGAGUUCGAACUGAGUCGAUGCCUUGUGGCUCCCAGCCAAAGUCGAGAUGCGUUGUGGAAUCAGGAUGCUCCUCAGAAGUGCCGGGUGGCCCACUGCACCAUGCCCUGGCUCCUGUGCCCACCUGCCCCCUCAUUCCAAAUCCUCUGAGGCCUGAGACCCGGGAGGGGGUCCAGGGAGGCACCCAGCCUAUUGCAACAAAGGGAGAGUUGCUUGCCACAUAAAUCAAGUGUUACCUUACAUAUUGCUGUCUGACGAUGUCUGAAAUGAUUUCUGUUCACAUGGAUCCAGGGAAAGACCUCAGGACUGAGAGGUAACCUGGCUUUGGAUCUUUACACAUACAGGAAGAUACACCUCCUCUGAGAGCAAAGCCCAACAGGACAGCGACUGCCACCUGGCACCUGCUGAUGCAGAGGGCAGCCUGCCACGUCACUGCCUUUAGGACUUGGGAAAAGAGAUACAUUUGUUAAAAUGGAAUAUUGCAUUAUCUCUGUAGACUGUUUUCAUUCAAAAUUGUUUUACUGUAAAAUACUGCAUGCUUGUAUGGAACACAGUGCAAUAUUUGAUAAUAUGCGCAGUAUACAAUGGUCAAAUCAAGGUAGUUAGCAUUUCUGCCUUCUUAAACAUUUAUCUUCUCUUUCUUUAAGGAAACUCUGAACACUUCCCUUCUCAUUCUGUUUAGAAUGUGCACAAAAAAAAAAAAAAAAAAAAAAAAAAAAAAGAAUGUGCACUAAAUAGCUGUGAACAGUGAUCAUCUCACUGGGUAUGGACUCGGGACGGACUCUUCCCACCCCUGCCUCUGGUGCCCACUGCCCAGCCUCAUUUGUCUCCGCUGGUUCCUGGCCCUCCCUGGGUUUCGGCAACCACUGCUCUGUUCUCUCCUCCUGAAAAUCAUCACUCUCUGUGUGACUCAGCACCUGCAGUGUUUAUCUUUCUGCCCAGCUCCCUUCACUUAACACAGUACCCUCCCAUCUGUCCCAGUUGCCGCAGGUGACGGGAUUUCAUUCUUUGGUGGCUGAAUAACAUUCCUGUUCAGAUCAUCUGCCUAUUUUAAAAUUAGAUGAACAGUUUUCUGAAUGCUGCGAUCUGUGGGUUCCUUGCAUACUGAAGUUUUUAACUCCUUGUAAAUCACAUGUUUGCAAAUAUUUUCUCUGACCCUGCUGGCUGUCUCCCCACCCUGUAGCUGUGCAGAAGCCCCCUAGUUGGUCUUAGUUGGACAGGACCUCAUUUGCCUAUCAUUGCCUGUGCUCCUGGGGUUGUAACCAAAAAGUUGUUGUCUGCAUUGAUGUCUUUGUGUGUUUCCCUGGCGUUUGGUUGGCAGAGUCACAGUUUCAGGCCCCUUUGGUGUUUGGUGGGGGAGGGCUCAAGCGUGAGUUCUCUGCACGUGGAAUCCAGCUCCUCAGCUCCGUUUAUUGGUUUAUUGAAGGCACUUUCCUACCCAGUCCUCUGUCAAAGACCAGCCGGCUCUGGAUGUGUGGGCUUACUUUGGGGCUCUCUAUCCUGUCCCAGAACGGCAGGUGCAGUUUUCACACCAUUACUGAUCUGUUUGGAGUCUUGUUUUGAUGCCCUCAGCUCCAGACUGCUUUGGCUAUUUGGCCUGUUGCAUAUUCCAGGUGUAUUUUACGACUCUCUUCCGUUUCUGUGAAGAGUGUCUUUAAUAUUCAGCGGGGAUUGCGUUACAUCUGAAAACUGUGUGUGGUAGUGUGGACAUUUUAACGGUGAUAAUUUUCCCCGUCCAUGAACAUGGGCUGCUUUUCACUUUCUCAUGCAUGUUUCCUCUAGUUUCAUUUGUCAUUACUUUGUAGUUUUUAGUGUAGAGAUUAUUUUCUUUCUUGGUUAGAUUUAGUUUUAAACAUUAUUAUUUUUGUAGCUAUUAUAAGUGAGUUUGUUUUCUUGUUUUUUCAUCAAGUUCAUUAUUGAUGGAUAAAAUUGCUAUGACUUUUGCCUGUAUGUUGAUUUUGCAUUCUGCAAAUUUUACCGAAUUAACUCAUCCACUCUAACAGUUUUUGGGCAGAUUUUUUUCUGUAUAAAAAUCAUGAUGGUUGCCCCCAAACAGGGGUGAUAUGACUCCCUCCUUUUCAACUUGGAUCCCUUUUAUUUCUUUCUCCUACCUAAUUUCCCCAGUUAAGAUCCCAACACUAUGUUGAAUAGGAGUAAUCACAGCAGACACCCUUGCCCCGCUCCACCUGGAGCAGGAAAUUUGUGCUUUUGGCUGUGAGUCCUCCACCUAAGAGCACUUUAGACUUUAUUUUAUUUUAUUUUUGUCUUUUUUAAAAAAAUCUUUUUGAGACAGGCUCUCACUAUGCAGGUCAGGUUGCCUUGAGCUCACUUUGUAGUCAGGCUGGUCUCGAACUCACAACAAUCCUCCUGCCUCAGCCUCCCGAGUGGGAUUACAGGCAUGCACUGCCAGGCCUGGCUUCACUCUGGACUUUAGAAGAAUGCUUUUGGUUGUCCCUUUGUAUGUGUUGGCUAUGGGAUUAUCAUAUGUAGCUUUUAUUGUGUUGGAGUAAAUUCCUUUUAUACUUCAUUUGUUGGAGUCCUUUUUUCAUGAAAGGAUGUUGAAUUUCACUGAGAGCUUUUUCUGCAUCUGAUGGAAGGAUGAUAGGGUGCUUUCUACUCUAUUGAUGUAAUAUUUUAUAUUUAUUGAUUAACACAUGCUGAUACAUCUUUGCAUUCUCAGGAUAAAUUUCCCCUGGUCACGAUGGAUAAAAUCGUUGGCUGAUUGCUGUUGGAUUCAGUUUACUAGCACUACACUACACUGUUGGGAAUUUUUGCAUCUGUGUUCCAUCACGGAAAUUGGUCUAUAGAUUCUAUUCUCCCCUCUCCUUUGCUUCCCCUUCUUCUUUCUUUUCUGUCGUUUCUUUUUUGAGAGUCUCAAUAUGUUGUAGUCAGGGGGUUUCAAGGAGAACAACUACAUAGAGGACACAGAAUUUAUAACAGUAUUUUAUGAUGGUCACCCACAGUUAAAUACAAAAAAGUGCAGGAAAUCUGUGUGCAACUCUAAAGACCUAGAAAAUCCAGCCGAGAGCCUGGAUCCUGCAGCAAUGUCCUGUAUGAGGCCAGCUGAAGACCUAGAGCCCAUGACAAGGACUCAUGCAAGUCUGUUUCAUGGAUCCUCCCUGGGAGGGCCCAACAGUCAGUGGUGGAAGCGAGAAAGUCUGUGCCAGUGGGAUGAAGAAUCUGUGCCAGUAGAUUGAGGGUUCUAUACUUACGCCAAGAAGCAAGGCUCAAAAUAUGGACCAGGGCUCCCCUGAAAAGUACCACAGCCAUCCUCAGUGACAGUGAGGUCCCAGGCUCCUCUGAUAAUGCGAACAACUGAGUUUAUAUCAGGAAGCCAGUGUGACAGCUCCUCCAGGAGAGCCAGCAGCUCCAAACAACAACAUGAGAGAACCCACAAUGCUACUCUUCCUCCCCAGGUCUCCUUUUAUGCUGGCAACUUUCCUCAGGGGGCCAUCUACACUCAGCACCACGCUGACUCAGUUCAGCUGGAGUAAAGUUGCCCACAAAUUUUGAAUCCAUAAGACACUAUAUUACUCUGGCUGGACUCAAGGAACACUCUUGUCUCAGCCCUCCAAGUACUAGAUAGGCAUGGAGAAGGUGCCUCUGCACUUAGUAUAUUUUUCUUCAAGUGCGCCCUUGUUUGGUAUUUUUAGAGUAAUGCUGGCCUCAGAGGAUGGGUUCAUGAGGGUUUCUUUUUUUCAAAUCUUCGCAGUGAUUUUAGAAAAAUUGGUGCAAAUUCUUCCUGGAAAUCUUGGUAAAGUUCAAAACUUUAGUUGCUGACUCAGUCCCCUCGUCACCAACCUGAUCAGGUCUUUUAGGUCACUGUGACCCAGCUUUGGUAGGUUACGUACAAAUCUGGGCACUUCUAAGUUUCUCAGGUUGCUGGCUCCAGCUGUUCACAAUAGGUCCUAAGGGGGUUCAGAUUUAGUGUUUUUACCUGGUUUGUGUUCCCUUUCUCUCUCUCCUCCUUCUUCUUCCUCUUCCUCUUCUUCUUCUUCUUCUUCUUUUUGAGACAGGGUCUCUCUAUGUGAUCCAGGUAAGACUUGAACUCAAGUGUAGUACAGGAUAAUCUGGAACUCACAGCAAUCCUGCCUCAGCCUCACAAGUGCUGGAAUUACAGGCAUGCGCCACCAACACCGGCACAUGCCCGUCUAGUUUUUUGAGUUGCAUCAUUAAAUUGGGUAUUUGAGCUCUUUUUUGUCUUUCUUUCUUUCUUUCCUUUUUUGGAGGUAGAUACUUACUGUUGUAAAGUCGUCUCAGUGUUGUUUUUGGUUGUGUCUAAUAGGUUUUGGUAUGAUGCAUUUCUACAUCAUUUGUUUCAAGAUAUUUAAAAAAUUUCUCUUUGGAUUUUGCCAUUGACUCGUUGGUUGUUAAGCAUGCAGCUUAGGAGCCACAGACUUAUGCAAUUUCUAAAGUUCUUGUAGAUUUCCAUUUUUAUUCCACUGUGAUUGGAGAAAAUAUAUGCUAGGAUUUCAAUUUUUUUUUUUUUUUACUCUGUUGAGACUCUAUUUUGUGGCCUAAUGUGUGGUCCGUCCUGGAGACUGUGCAGGGCUUGGGAGAAGAAUGUAUCUACUGCAGCUUAGGAAGAAACGCUCCAUGAGGAUGGGUCCAGAGUAUAACACCAGCAUUUCUUUGUGUGUCUUAAUGAGUUGUUCACUGGUGAAAGCUGAGUGCUGAAGUCCAUAGCUGUUAUUGCACUGGAGUUGAUCUCUCCCUUUAGAUUUGAUAAUGUUUUUCUUAUGCAACUAGAUAUUCCAGCAUUGAGGAGAUACAUAUAUUAUUGAAUUGAUCUCUUAAUUAUUCACCAGAUAGUAACCUCCUUCAGCUUUUUAAAAAUAAUUUUCAAUUUAAAAUCUAUUUUAUUGAAUGUAAGUACAGCUACUUGUGCUUGCUUUUCAUUUUUAUUUGUAUAAUGUUGUAUUUUCCCAACCCUUCAUUUUCAACCUAUACACAUCUCUGUCAGUGAAAUUACUUUCUUGUAGGACACUGUUGUGGCCCUUCUAGAUAUCCCCAAAGCCUCAUGAGGUCAUGGGUGGGGCUUUCUCAGAGGUGGCUGGAUCUAGAGUGUGUGACGCUGAAACUGAUUCAUGCAAUACUACAGUCAAGGACAUUAGCAUUAAGGGUGUGAGUGCUGCUGGCCCUGAAUGGUCUGGAUAAGAUAAAAUGGGCAGGAAGAUGCUGUCAAGGCCCUGCUGCUUUUGUUACUUUCUGGCCACCUUCAACUGUUCUCCUUGGUUAUGCUACCCUGUCUGGAGCCAGCCCAUGAUGAAUUGAAACUUCUACGACGUGUGAACCAAGUAAACCUUCCUUCCUUUAACUUUGGGUGGUGGGUAUUUUGUCUCAGCAAUGAGAAAAGAAGCUAAGACAGACACAAAUAAUUGUUCUUGGUUUUUAUUUUUUUUAAAUAAAUACAUCCAGUAUAAAUAUUUUAACUGGGGAGUUGAUCCAUUAUAUUUAAAGGUUUACUGGGGUCAUUUGUUAAAUUUUGGUGAUUUUGUAUAUCUUUGUUCCUUUCUCUCUUAUUGUUCAUCCUUAUGGUUUGGUGGUUUUCUGUAUCGAUAAAGUUGGAUUAUUUUUCUUUGUUUAUCUUCUCUCCUAAUGAAUACGGUGCUUUCACAUGUUUUCAUGAUGGUAGCUACCAUCCUUUGCUUCUCCGUGUAGGACUCCCAUAAGCAUUUUUUGGAAGAAUGCUCUAUUGGUCAAUUUUCUGUGUUUUGUGAAGUCUUUAUUUUUUAUUUUACUUCAUAAAGAUAGAUUUGCUGAGUGUAUGAUUUUUUUUCUUUCAGGCCUUGGAUGUACCACCAUUCUCUCCUAGCCUGAACAUUGCUGCUGAGAAAUCUAUUGUUAUUCUGAUGGGAAUUCUCAUAAAUGUAAUUUGAUGCUUUCUCUUGUUUUUAGAUUCUCUCUUCAUCUUUCACUUUUGAUAGUUUGACUAUUGCAUACCUCACAGUGGACUUUAUUUUGCACAAUCUAGUUGAGGUCCUUUGAGCUUUCUGGAUGUAGAUUCCUAUAUUUUAAGAUUUGGAAAGUUUUCAAAUAUUGUUUCUUUAAUAGGUUUCCUAAGACUUCUUUUAUCUUCUUUUUCUGGAACACUCAUAGUAUAAAAGUUUGUUUAUUCAAUUAUGUCUCAAAAGUCUUAUAGGAGUUCUUCAUUCUUUGAGUUUAUCUAUCUUUCUUUGCUUCUUUUAGUCUGAGUGGGUUAUUUCAAAAGACCCUUUUCUUGAUCUAGUCUGCUGUUGAGUUUCUCAACUGUAUAUUAUUUAUUGAGUUCUUCAGCUUCAAGAUCUUGGUUGGAUCUUUCUGUGGUCUCUAUCUCAUUGCUGAAUUUCUCACUGAAAUCAGGAAUAUUUUUCUAAUUUUAUGGAAUUGUCUACAUUGCCCUGCAUUUCACUGGGUCCUCUAAAAUCAUUAUUUUGAAUUAUUUUUCAGAAAGUUUUUUUGGUAUCUGUUGCUGGAUAGUUAUUGCUUCCUUUGAAGCCUUCAUGUUUCUUCUGUCUGUGUUGGUAUUCACCCCGCUGGCAGAUCCUUUGCUUCCAUCAGUUCACAGUGUGGCUUUGUGUGAAGGCUUUCUCCUGGUGAUGUGCUCUCGGACGCCCAUCGAGUUGGCUACCAGCUCUGCAUUAGGCAGGUGCGGUGGCGUAGUCUCAGCGCAGCCUCUCCAGCCAUCAUCCACACUGGCGAUCUCAGCGGAAGCCCCAGGGCUGAGGCUGCAGUUGAUGGCUCUCUUAUGCAGGGUGGGUUUGCAGGUGGCUCUGCUCAUAGCAUAGGAGGUUGUGGGAUGAUCAGUUAUUUCCAUAUGGUGCACAGGGUGAGCCACUCUGCAGAGGUAGUGUAGUAGCCCUGGUAGUGGGAGUGGGGUGUGCCUCAGUGUCCCUGGGCCAUGUGAGACCAGGCUGUACCCCCAGCCCAGGUGCGGCCUUGGUGUCCAGUGCUUUCUGGGACCAAGGUAGGAUGGUUGGGAUACUGGGACAUGCUGAGGAUACUGUUCCUCCUAUCUGCCCUGUUACUUUUCUAAUUUUUCCUUGGUACUUGAACACAGUUUUUUUGUUUUGUUUUGUUUUUGUUUUACCAUCUGCAUAGGCUGAGAGGUACACACACACAUAUGCACACACACACACGCGCACACACACACACACACACACACACACACACUCUCAGCUCUCUCAGCCUCAGUGCGCUGACACACCAAAGACUUUUCCUUGAGGCUGUUUUCUCUACUCUUCUUUCAGCUACCCAUAGAAACUAAAAAAAUGGAAGCCCUCAAUAUCAAUGGAAAAUCUGAAAAAUGUCUUCUGUGUGCCAGCUGGAUAGUCAUUUACAGGGAUAGGAAGUAAUUAAAAGAGCAAUGCUGAACUAAAAGUCUUAUCUAGCUCACAUGUGCAAACGUAAUUUUUUAAUUUUUUUUUUUUUUUUUGGUCUUUUUCCUUUUUAUCGGUACUGGGGAUCGAACUCAUGACUGCCUGCUUGCAAGGCUGGCACUUAUGCCACUGAGCUAAAUCCCCAGCUCCCAUGCAAACUUAAAUUUAAAAAAUAAUUGGAAUAUGGUCGAACAUUCCUUAUGGGCUGAUUACUAGAUUUUCUGAAUCGCCUCCUCUCUGUCAUUUGAGGGCUGCCUUCCUGAACCUUGCAUCCUGAAGAUCGAAUACUCAGCCAGCUGAUGCUUGCCAGAGACACAGCAGUCUCUUCCCAGCCCAUCCCGGCCGUAGUUUGGCAGGCCCCGGGUGUACUGCUCUCAGGAGGUGGAGGGUUCCCUGGUCCUCCACCAAUGUCCACAGCAACAGCUUCCAGGCAAGCUUGUGGGACGCUGCUCUGCAGCAGGCUUGUGUGACAAGUCCCCAACUGGAAGUAAGACUUUUUCAUUAUUGUAUUUGACGCUUUUCUAGAAUAUGUGUUGGACACAAGAUAGACUGUUUUACGUCAUCAGAUAAGGGUAGAAAUGUAUUAUGACCGCCCAAGCCCACCAUGGAAGAUAAUUCACGGCUUACUGUGGGGUCUUCUUUAAAUCCUAGCGUGGCAUGCAAACACUUAACUAUUGAAUGUCUAGUUACUUCUUAAUUCUGUCCUUGUGGAAAUAUUAACUAGCAUUAUGGUUGAUACAUUGUGUCAACUUGAGAAUUUUAGAAGUUUGACUGAGAGACUCAGCAGGGAGCCAGGAUCCUGACUUUGUAAGUAUCCUCAUUUUUUGUAAGAAGAGGGCACAGAGAUAUUUUGAGUGCUACAUUGCCCUGGAGUGGGGGGAGUGGCCUGUGUACGAUAUGAGGGAGGAAAGGAGGCUUGCUCUUCCCCCUUUUGCUAUGGCUGCUGCCUUGAAGUGUUGUCCUAGGACCAUGCCACCCUGCCUUGCAGCUGACUGAUUAUGGACUGAAACCUCCAAAGACUGUAAGCUAAAUAAACUUUUCCUUCCUUAAUUUUCAGCAACCAGAGAAAAGUAACCAAGACAGAAUUUGGUGCCAUGAGUGGAGUCAUUGCUAUGACUAUACCUGACCAUGUGGUCUAAGAGUCUUUGGGAAAGACUUGUGGGAAGUUAGAAAGGUUCAGAGAUGUCACCUGAAAGGACAGCUCAGGCUGUUCUGUAUGGCAAAUUCCACUCAGUGCUCAGAAGACCAGAAAACCUGUAAAGACCAGUGUCGGGAGGUUUCUGCUGGGAAGAAGGACUGCAUUAUGUGCUGGCCUCCAGAUGAUGUGUGUUAUGACUUGGCAGAAAGUUUGUCUACAUUUUGCUCAUGUCCAGAGACUUUGUCUGAGACUAAGAUGAAGAGUAGGGGACUAAUUAAUUUGGCCAAAAAAUUUCAAGGCAGUCAAAUGUUGAGGCUGUGGCAUGGCUAUUGUUGGGGGCUUUUAGGCAGAUUUAUGUUGUAAAUCAAGAGCAAAGAGCCCAGCAGGAUGACUUAAAACAUUGUGAGUUUGUGCAGAAAAAAACUCCAAUAAAGCUGUUUGCUUUGAGACAAAAGCCGAGAGCAUCGUGUUCAGAAUGGCAGCAGAGCUGCACCAGGUUCCAGAAUGGCAGCAGCAGAAUUUUUUCCCUCAAAAUUGUAUUCAGAGUGCCCAGUAAUCCAAGCACUUGACCCCUACAGCCAAAAGAGAGGAGAGCCUGGAUGCUGCUCUAGCUGGCAGCAGACCUUGGCAUCAUCUACAUGGUGCCGGUUAUGAGUGCAUACAGAAUACAGGAAUUUUGAAGUUAAAAAGGCUCCCACCCCAAUUUGAGAAGGCCUGGGAGUCCAGGCAGCAUGUCCCUCACAGGGCAGUGUGUGAAGCCAAAGGUGCAGUAGAGGUCCCAGAAAUUUGGAAAAGCCAAGAAUACGGAUCAUCUAAGGAAAGCAAAGCUGCAGGGAGAGCGCAAGGUGGGCUUAAGAGAGAAGCUGUGGGAGCUACAAGGACCAGAAGUGCGGUAGGGUAGAGUCACAUGAGCCAUUUGGAGCUCACAGUUUGCCACAGAUCGCUUCAGAUGCUGGACGCGUAGCCACAGGAUUUAACCUUUGCCCUGCUGGACUUUGGAUGUGCUUUGGUCCCAGUGCUUUGCAUCCCCGUUUGUACCUUUUGGAAUGGGAGUGUUUAUUUUUUGCCAUUGCAGGUUGGAAGUGUUUAAUUUUGUUUGCAUUUGUCCAGGGCCUUGCAGCUAAGAGUUUACCUUCCAUCUUUGAGGAGACAGAAUGUGAACUUUUCAGCAGUGCUGAAACUGUUAGGACUUUGGCAACUCCUGCAGAUGGACUAAAUGCCUUUUGUAUAAAGGGAUGUGUAUGAGUCUUUGCAGGGCCAGGGGCAGAAGGUCAUGAUUCUUAAUGCAAUAUAAUGUUGAUAGACAAUAUUGAUUUUUUUGUCUUUUUUGAGACAGGGUCUUUAUGCAGUUCAGGCUGGCCUUGAACUCACUUUGUAGCCCCGGCUGGUCUGGAAUUUGCAAUGAUCCUCCUGCCUCAGCCUCCCGAGUGCUGAAAUUACAGGUGUGAGCCACUAUGCCCGGCUUAAUAUUGAUUCUUAAGGAUUGUUAAACCUGUGUUCUAAUGUUCAAGUUGGGAAAUGCUAAAAAUAAACAUGCCCUUAUAUCUGGAGGCCUGUUUAAAGACAUAUGUCUGGUUACAAAUUGACAAGGGGUGGAUUGUUAUGGGUGAUACACUGUGUCAACCUGAGAAGUUUAAAAGUUUAACUGAGAGACUCAGCAGGGAGGGAGGAUCCUUACUUUGUAAACAUCCUCAGCCUGGGCCAGAGGAGGACACAGUCUGGGGAGGGGGUGGCUUCUGUAUGAUAUAGGACAGGAGCAGAGACUUGCUCUUCCCCCUUUUGCUCUGGCUGCUGUCUUGAAGUGCUACCCUGUGCCACCUUGCCUUGCAGCCAGCUGAUUAUAGACUGAAACCUCCAAAAACUGUAAGCUACUAGUUUCUCUGAUUUAAAAAUAUAAACUCAUUUUCAUUCCUAUAUAUUUCCUAAAAUAAAUGGACAUUUGGGUUAUAACUCCUCCAUCAUUCAGACACUGACAAAGAAUAAAACAAAAUCGAAAUGAAAUAAGUAUACAUGGAAUGCUGUUAUGGGUUGGGAAGCAGAGAAUUGUGGGUUUCAGCUACAGACUUGGGACAAUCCGCCUCUACAUUAGUUUUAUCUCUCUUCUCUCUGGAUUUCCAAAGCCAUUAUUUACAAGCUGUCAAACUUUCGGGCUCAAGUAAUUUGUACAGAAAAUGCAGGGAAAGCAUUUUAUCUGUGUGUUCCUUGUCUAUUCACAGUUGCCACUCGACUCCAGAAGAACUCUUUUCUGCUUGUACAAAACAAAGAUUAAAACAGCUUCAAUUCCAUCUCUGAUGUAGAGAGAAAGAGGAUGCGGUUUGAGGUUAGCAAGGCUGGGGUUCAGAUCAUAGUUAUGGUGGUUUAGAUUCAUGUGUCUCCCCAAACUCUGAAGUGCUGGGAGGUAUUGAAUGGGCCAUGGCAGUGCUACACUCCUCAAUGGACUCAUCUGUCAGUAGACUCCACUGUCUGAUGUAGUGUCGGGAGAUGGAGACCAUGGGAUCAGGUGGUCCCUGGGGCACCGCCUGGUCAGAGAUGGCCAUCCAUAGAGUGUGGCCUGAUGGGAGGAGGCGGGGCCAAUGGGAAGAGGUGGUCCCUGGGGAGUGGCCUGGGAGGGUGCAUCUCUCUCUGCAGCUCUUCCAUCCCUGCUGGCUGGCUGCCAGGGAUUGGGCAGCUCUCCUCUCCUCACCAUGCCAUCUGCUAGGAGGUGCCAACCAGACGUGGACUGAGACUUCUGACAUGGUGAGCCAUGAUGAAGCUCUCUUGUUUCCUUGUGGGUGUCAGGCAUUGUCCUCAGGAUGGAAAAGUAACUAAGAUGAUAGCUUUGCUCUUGACUGCUAUGUUCUACUUAAGUUACUCUGUGUUUCUAGGGCACCAUCUCCUUGCAUUUACACUGUGUGGAACAGUUGCUAUGGGCAUUAGAUCGGUUAAUAUUUGAAGCUCUGUUACUUGGAAAAUUUUUUUUCUUUUUUCUUUUUUCCGGUACCGGGGAUCGAACUCAUGACCGCCUGCUUGCAAGGCAGGUACUUAUGCCGCUGAGCUAAAUCCCCAGCCCCACUUGGAAAAUUUUUAAAAGAUCUUUGGGAGAUUUUUUCUAAGUAAAAAUCUUCAGGAGUACAGCUUUAUCUACACUCAAGUUUCUCACCCAGGAGCCAGCCACUUCCAGGAAUGGCAGACAAGGUAAUUUGUAGGAACUCUCUCAUCGUGGAUUGCCCAAGAAGCUGGACACAUGUAAAAUACAUAACUCAGUAUUUUAAAGCAUCAACACGAAACUAGCUAGAAGCCAGCUAUAAAUCAAUGAGGAAGUAAAGCUGUUCCGUGAGAUUUCUUUGUGGGGAAUCUCUCCAGAACCUGCCAAGAAGCAGCUGGACACUAGCUGUCUCCAGGUGAUCAGACCCAGGGGUGCCUCCCUUUACCCAGCCAAAGACCUUCAAACAUUACAACAUCAGCAUCUCGUAGAACACUAUUCUCUGAAAAGGAAUGUGCAGUCGUGAACAAAUGAUGACAAUUAAAGCCUGCUCACAGGAGCCCUAGAACUCUCCCUUCUCACCACCCUGUUACCGUACAGCUUUCUCUUCUCCCUUCCAAUAAAUCUCCUCACUGCUCCAUCGGGAGCCUGCCACCUGUUUGUCACUAAGCCUUCCAGAAAGCUCUGCUCUUUAUGCUGAAACCCAGGACCAACACAGAGACUUAGCAACACUAUGCUUCAAUCAACCAUCAAAAAGUUUAGAGAUGUAGUUCAAUGUGAGGCAAUGUGAAAGCCCUGGGUUCAAUUUCCAGUAAUGGGGAAAAUUUUGUUAAAUUCACAAGAAAAAAUAUAAUAACGAUUAAAAACUCACUGGAUAGGUUUAAGAUGGAUUAGAUACAACUAAAGAGAGAAUUAGUGAACAGGAGAUACUUUGCAAGCAUGUCCAAAAUUCAUCACAGAGACAAGAGGCAAAGAGCAGUAAAGAUGAGAGCCAUAAAUCACACAGUGCAAACAUUUAACAUUUGAUCAAUUACAGUCAGAAAACCAGAAACAGGAGAUGAUCUCAUUAAAAAGUAGACUGACAAUUUCCAGAAUAUCCAAGAAUAGUCUGAAGAAACAAAACCCAUUCCCAGUGGGCUAAAGAAAAGAACAUUCACAAAUGGGUACAGCCCAAUGAAACUGCUGGGAAGCAGAAGUAGAUCCACCUUCCAGGGGGCUGAUGGCUCCUACCACUAUACAGUGCUUCCAGGCAGCACUGGCAAAGGUGGGCACAGGCUCUCAGGGGAUGUCACCCUCAGUCAUGGUGACCACCAAUGUCUCUGAUGCUGAGAGCACCUGCAGACCUGGUCUUUACCAUCAUGUUGGUGAAAAUGGACAUUAUCAGAGUCUUGAGGAAAUAAUAUGGUUUACCAAAUCCAAAAUCCUUCUUGGCCUAGUCUCUAUCUAGAUGUCACCAAAGCCUCACGCACUCCUAAGAGGGCUUGGGAGGUGCCGGGAUCAUGGGUGUGUGACCCUCAUAGCAGACUGGUCCACCAGGGAGUUUACAGCUGAAGGUGACACUGGGAGGCGGAGCCUGUGAAGGAGGUGGUUGCUGGGGCAUAGGCUAGAAGGGUCUCUGUCGCUCUUUCUUCCUUGAUCUGUGUGCUUCUUGUCCACCAGGCCACAGGCUGUUUCUCCUCUGCGAGGCCUCUCUGAAUGCUGCUGUGGGAGCCAGUCAUGGACUGAAACCUCUACAGACUGUGAGCCAAAAUAAACCUCUCCUUAGAGGUGUGGGUGUUGGGUAUUGUGUCUCAGAGAUGAGAAAGUAACUAAGACAUGUAAGAAUAUUACAUGCUUUUCCAGUCGACUUUAACUAAAAUUUGUGAUAUAAUAACAUUAAAGAAAAUUGGAGAAUAAAGGGAAAAAUUAAACAUAA